Molecule: long non-coding RNA, 371 nt
Filed under: Mytilus galloprovincialis (Mediterranean mussel)
Lineage: Eukaryota; Metazoa; Mollusca; Bivalvia; Mytilida; Mytilidae
Source: RNAcentral
UGUCCGUCACGUGGUAAUAGGUAUACCUAUUUUAUGAAAUUAUUACAAAGAUAUCGAUUAAGAAUAAAAGAUGAUCUCGAUAUUAUAGGUAUAUCUCUUCUGUAUUCUUUAAAUUUUAAGGUAAUAUUUUUCUAUUCAUUAGUGUUUUUUGCCCUUUUCUCCUUUUAUUCAUAUUUGAACACCAGUGUUCUCUGUUCUUUUUUUAAAUUUUUUUUUGGUCCAUUUUUCUGUAAAUUUUAUCCAUUCUCCGAUAUUCUUUCCUAUCCAGAUUUCAGACCUUAAUAAAAAAAAUACUUGAUGGGCACAAUGGUAUUCACACACACUAAACAAUACACUAUAUGAUUUAGAAAAAGAACAAAUAUAUUCAGCUG